RNAcentral lists this ribosomal RNA (421 nucleotides) under uncultured bacterium. Its description in RNAcentral is "partial 16S ribosomal RNA". It matches the Rfam family "Bacterial small subunit ribosomal RNA", at positions 360 to 773 of the family's 1533-position model. The record is from RNAcentral.
AAUAUUGGACAAUGGGGGCAACCCUGAUCCAGCCAUGCCGCGUGUGUGAAGAAGGUCUNGGGAUUNUNAAGCACUUUAAGUUGGGNGAAAGGGCUUUAGGCUAAUACCCUGAAGUUUUGACGUUACCAACAGAAUAAGCACCGGCUAACUUCGUGCCAGCAGCCGCGGUAAUACGAAGGGUACAAGCGUUAAUCGGAAUUACUGGGCGUAAAGUGUGCGUAGGUGGUUUGUCAAGUUGGAAGUGAAAGCCCCGGGCUCCACCUGGGAACUGCUUUCAUAACUGCUGAGCUAGAGUACGGUAGAGGGUAAUGGAAUUUCCUGUGUCGCGGUGAAAUGCGUAGAUAUAGGAAGGAACACCAGUGGCGAAGACGACUACCUGGACUGAUACUGACACUGAGGUGCGAAAGCGUGGGGAGCAAAC